UACAACAACUUAAAGCAUACAAUUCCAACAAUUUCAACAUCGAUCAACACUAACACAUCAACGAUCUCAACAACCCUAAAGAUUCAAACUCGACCUGCAUCCACCAACAACCAUACUUGCAAACUAUCAACAACCCAUCUUCCAUACCCAGAUUGACAACUAGUUAAACCCGAACCAGUUUCAAAUCAAAAACCCGACCCGCAAUCGAUCCCAAACCGCUCAUUUUCACUCUUUUAUGCGUCACACGAUAUUGGGUAUGAGGAAAGUUCAAGAAUUUUCUAGAAGUGCCUAGGUGUCACCCCUAACGGCUAGAUGCCGAGAAUUUCAGGUUGAAUGGUACGAAAUCGUACAUACUUGCCCGAUUUUCAUUAGUUCGUGAGGAAAAUUACAUCCCUUAACUUCUAUUUGUUGGCCAAUUUGGAUUUCAUGAAAAAAAUCUAAAAUUUGCACUGGUUGUGGAUGAAAAAUACAAGUUGUAGAAGGAUUCCAAUUUCAAAUUUCAGAAGAUCUCUAUUUUAAAAUCUCGAAAUUACCCCUAUUUGAAUUUUUCCCACAUCGGUGAGCUCCAAGGGGAUGGGAUUCUUUCAUUUUUCUAUAAAUAGCCCUCUUUAGAGCAAAAAAGGGGUAAAAAAGAGAGUCUGAAGAGAGGGAAAAAGGAGCUUGAGCAAAACUCAGUAGAUUUUUACUAAAAAUUUUUAGUCAUCAAUUCGAUCGGAACUCUCAAAAGACUGAUUUCUGGUGGUGGUGGAGUCCAACGUCAGCUCGAGAUUCUAUUUUGCUGCCCCAAAAGAGAGUCAUUCUCAAAGAUUAGAAGACAGUCUCAUGACGUGUGGAUAUAAGGAGUUGAAAGAAGAAGAAUGGGCUGAAGUCUCGUCCUUAGUGGCAAAGAGACUCGGAAGUCUCAUUUUUUAUUUUCAUUUAUUCAUUUGUAGUUUUCUUUUUUUUUUAUUUAUUUAUUUCUUUAUUUCAUUAUUUAUUCAUUUGAGCUUCGAAGCCAAAGUUGUAAAUUUAAUACAGGUGGAGCGGAUUUUGGGCCAAAAAGGCCUGAAAACUAGAUUAGGACAGGUGAAAUGGGUCGAAAGCUCAAUUAGACUAGGAUGAGUUUUGUUGAUUUGGGUCCAAUGACCUAAAUCUUUUACUUUCUCCUCUCUUUCAUCUUUUAUGUCUUUAUUUGCUUAUUAGUUUUUGUUUAGACUUAGUUAAAAUCCUUACGAAGUCGCCUAAAUCUAUUUCACGCGUCUUUUUUUUUUUUGUAAAAUCGAUCACUUUUCAACAAAUUAAUCUUUUUUUUGAAGUUAGUCAAAAGAUGUUUCCAAACAGUCCGGAUAACUGCAAGUUAGCGGACGUUUUAGGUGACUAACACCUUUCUAAAAUGUUAAUAGGAAUCGCGUAUUCAGAAUUUUUAACUUCAAUGAUUUUCCUGAUUUGAAUCGUCUAAGUAUUUUAUAAAGGUUUCUUAAUGUCUUUUCAAAAUUAAGUGGGGAAUUUUUUUAAAAUUCAAAAUUUUCAUAAAAUAGAAAUGGAGACUCUACAGGGGAAUUUGAAAUUAGGUUCUAACCAAAUGUUUGAUUUCAUCUUUUGAUUAAUUGUUUAUGUGUUUAUAUGUUUUGAUUUUGUGGUAUUUAAUUAUUGCCUUUUGUACAAUAUUCCUACAUUAUUUUAUAAUCUAUUUUGUGGUUUCGUGGAUGUCCCGGCCUCUGUUAUUCAAUUCCAAAUAAUGUGUUGGAAAUACAACAAUUUAUUAACACGUGAGUCGUCUGAUGGCUGUUCGUAUUUUCUAACCCAAGUCGUGCGCUUGAGAAUUUGGUUCAAACUCACUCUCGACACUUAGGAUAGAGCGAAACCAAAACCCUAUUUUAGGCAUGAGCCUAGGACGACCCAAUACCCGAGGGGGGUAUUGGGAUAAUUAGAAACUUGCCUUGUGUCUAUUGACCUCGAGUUAAUUACAGGUGACUUAUAUUUAUGUAUUGAAGAAAUAUAUGUUUGUUUAAUCUAAUCCAUUAACCUUUGGGGGGGUGGGGGGUGGGGGUGGGAGAAGACUUGUUUUACUUACUUUUGUAUAAGGAUGACUCAAUUGUACACGGAUUGAUGAAGGAAUUUAAACAAGACAAGAAAGAAAUUGAUCGAUUUGAAUAGUUGCGUGGCAUCUAUGGCAUAGUUAUACGACAAUAUCUUGAUCAUUAACGGAUGUCGCCAAUAACGAGGAGUGGACAAAGUUAAGAGGCCGAAGGCCGAUAGAAGAAGCAUUCAGGAACUAGUAUCCCCUGCGCGGGACAUUACUCUUCUUCUCAUGUUAUUUUUCCUUUUCCUAUAGACUGUAUCCAUUUUGUGCAACUUUUGUAGGCAUUUAUGCCAUUUAUGUAUACCUAUGAAGGUUUUAGGGGGAUAAUAAAUUGACUUUAAAAAGGCAUAUAUUUUCUUCAAAAGUCAUUAGGCCUAAACCCUUGGCUCAAAAGGGUCACCCAAUUAGGAUGCACGUUUAUUACAAUAAACUUGUGUAAUAUAAUUGUUUAUGUGCUUAUACGUGUUAUGUUGGCUCGAAUCAAAGGCGAAUUGAUCCAAUCUCAUUUUUCAUAAAACAUCUCUACGCAGAAAUAUACCCCACUAUACAAAAGUCUAAUCAAACGUACUCCAAGUUUCUCAGAAAAGUCCGCAGUAUUUCUUAAAACUUUCAAAAUGAUCACUACCAUUUUUGAAAAAUUGAUUUUUGAAUCAGAAAAAGUCGUUAUAGUUUUAAACUACGUAGGGUUUGAUUUCUCCCCCGUGAGAUUCGUAGGCAGCCUUUCGGCUCGGCCCCCAUCUUAAAAAACUCUAUUGUCCUCCACUUUCUUAAAGGAAGAAAAAGAGUUGAACUUUCCUGAAAAAUUUCACCUAUCCAUAUCAUUGAGAAAAAUCCUGUUCAUUAAAAGUCUCGAGUCAUCAUUACUUCAUGGAUCAAUUAGCAUGAGAUAACAAACAAAUCUAUGUGUUUACUUCCUACCUUAUCAUCUUGUUUUACUUAUUACUAACGAAAUUUAACACUUCAACUAAAGGAUGAUCACCACCAUCAUCCAACCACAUCCCUUUUAGAAGGCAUAUGAGUAUUUUGGGAAAUUCAGGUUUCAUCUUUGUCUUCGGGAUAUUUCUAAAUUUAUGCCGAGGAUUACCUUCUCUUUCUUUCAAAUUGAAGUGAUAGAACACCUAGAGUUUUGAAAAUUAUGUCCAGGUAAAUUCUUAUGUAUGAAUGUGAAGAGUUUCAAGUUCAUGAUUAAGAGGUUACAAGCCUAUUUUUUACAACUACAUAUUAGCCCUGUCCAAAGCCACCGACUCGGCCCACCUAUCUCUUCUAUCUUCUUCAGCAAACUAGUACAACAGCUCCAAGUAUACAAUUCCAAUAAUUUCAACAUCGAUCAACACCAAUGCAUGAAGGAUCUCAACAACCCCAAAGAUCCAAACUCGACCCGAAUCCACCAGCAACCAUACUGACAAACCAUCAACAACCCGUCUCCCAUACCCAGAUCAACAACCAGUGAAACCCGAACCAGCUUCAAAUAAAAACCCAACCCGAAGUUGAUCCCAAAUCGCUCAUUUUCACUUUUUAUGCAUCACACGAUAUUGGGUAUGAGGAAAGUCCAAGAAUUUUCUAGAAGCACCUAGGUGUCGCCCCUAAUGGCUAGAUGCCGAGAAUUUUGGGAUGAAUGGUACGAAAUCGUACAUACUUGCCCGAUUCUCAUUGGUUCGUGAGGAAAAUUGCAUCCCUUAAAUUCUAUUUGUUGGCCAAUUUUGGAUUUCAUGAAAAAAAAAUCCAAAAUUUACACUGGUUGUGGAUGAAAAAUCCAAGCUGUAGAAGGAUUCCAAUUUCAAAUUUCAAAAUAUCUCCAUUUUAAAAUCCCAAAAUUACCCCUAUUAGAAUUUUUUCUGCAUCGGUGAUCUCCAAGGGGAUGGGAUUCUUUCAUUCUUCUAUAAGUAGCCCUCUUUAGAGCACAAAGGGGGUAAAAAAAAAGAGUCUGAAGAGGGGGAAAAAGGAGUUUGGGCAAAACUCAGUAGAUUUUUCUCAAAAUUUUUAGUCGUUGAUUCGGUCGGAACUCUCGAAGGACUAAUUUCUGGUGAUAGUGGAGUCAAACGUCAGCUCGAGAUUCUGUUUUGCUACCCCAAAAGAGGCCACUGAGGCCCAUUGCUCCUGAGUCAUUCUCAAAGAUUAAAAGACAAUCUCAUGAAUUGUGGAUAUAAGGAGUCGAAAGAAGAAGAAUGGGCUGAAGUUUCAUCCUUGAAGUGGUAAAGAGACUCGAAAGUCUCAUUUCUUAUAUUCAUUUAUUCAUCUGUUGUUGUCUUUUUAUUAUUAUUUAUUUAUUUCUUCAUUCUAUUAUUUAUUCAUUUGGGUCUCGAAGUCAAAGUUGUAAAUUUAAUACAGUCGGAGUGGAUUUUGGGCCAAAAAGGCCCGAAAACUAGAUUUGGACAGGUGAAAUGGGUUGAAAGCCAAGUUAGACUAGGACAGGUUUCGUUGAUUUGAGCCCAAUGACCUAAAUCUUUUACUUUCUCCUCC
Long non-coding RNA from Capsicum annuum, 4522 nucleotides. RefSeq lists it as uncharacterized. The record is from RefSeq and is a predicted model, not a curated record. The transcript is spliced from 3 exons. Lineage: Eukaryota; Viridiplantae; Streptophyta; Magnoliopsida; Solanales; Solanaceae.